Molecule: ribosomal RNA, 274 nt
Filed under: uncultured bacterium
Lineage: Bacteria
Description: partial 16S ribosomal RNA
Rfam family: Bacterial small subunit ribosomal RNA
Source: RNAcentral
AGACAGAGGUGGCAAGCGUUGUUCGGAUUUACUGGGCUUAAAGGGCGUGUAGGCGUCCUGAUAAGUCAGAUGUGGAAGCCCUGGGCUCAACCCAGGAAGUGCAUUUGAAACUGUCAGGAUUGAGUCAUGCAAGGGAGGGCGGAAUUCCUGGUGUAGCGGUGAAAUGCGUAGAUAUCACGAGGAAUACCGGUUACGAAGGUUGGCAGCUGGACAGGUACUGACGCUGAGGCACGAAAGCGUGGGGAGCAAACCGGAUUAGAAACCCGAGUAGUCC